GCGGAUGUGGCGGAAUUGGUAGACGCGCACGGUUCAGGUCCGUGUGGACGCAAGUCCGUGGAGGUUCGAGUCCUCUCAUCCGCA
RNAcentral lists this transfer RNA (84 nucleotides) under Actinomycetes bacterium. RNAcentral describes it as "Actinobacteria bacterium tRNA-Leu". It matches the Rfam family "tRNA". From Rfam's summary of the family: Transfer RNA (tRNA) molecules are approximately 80 nucleotides in length. Their secondary structure includes four short double-helical elements and three loops (D, anti-codon, and T loops). RNAcentral also lists the same sequence under 1 other name. The record is from RNAcentral. Lineage: Bacteria; Bacillati; Actinomycetota; Actinomycetes.